Molecule: ribosomal RNA, 596 nt
Filed under: Ehrlichia muris
Lineage: Bacteria; Pseudomonadati; Pseudomonadota; Alphaproteobacteria; Rickettsiales; Anaplasmataceae
Description: bacterial SSU rRNA
Rfam family: Bacterial small subunit ribosomal RNA
Source: RNAcentral
UAGAGUUUGAUCCUGGCUCAGAACGAACGCUGGCGGCAAGCCUAACACAUGCAAGUCGAACGGAUAACUGCCUAUAGCUUUUUUGUUAUAGGCAGUUAUUAGUGGCAGACGGGUGAGUAAUGCAUAGGAAUCUACCUAGUAGUAUGGAAUAGCCAUUAGAAAUGAUGGGUAAUACUGUAUAAUCCCUGCGGGGGAAAGAUUUAUCGCUAUUAGAUGAGCCUAUGUUAGAUUAGUUAGUUGGUAAGGUAAUGGCUUACCAAGACUAUGAUCUAUAGCUGGUCUGAGAGGACGAUCAGCCACACUGGAACUGAGAUACGGUCCAGACUCCUACGGGAGGCAGCAGUGGGGAAUAUUGGACAAUGGGCGAAAGCCUGAUCCAGCUAUGCCGCGUGAGUGAAGAAGGCCUUCGGGUUGUAAAGCUCUUUCAAUAGGGAAGAUAAUGACGGUACCUAUAGAAGAAGUCCCGGCAAACUCUGUGCCAGCAGCCGCGGUAAUACGGAGGGGGCAAGCGUUGUUCGGAAUUAUUGGGCGUAAAGGGCACGUAGGUGGACUAGUAAGUUAAAAGUGAAAUACCAGAGCUUAACUUGGACGCGGCU